GCCAGGUGCAGUGGUGCACACCUGUAAUCCCAGUGGCUGAGGAGGCUGAGGCAGGAGGAUUAUGAGUUCAAUGCCAGCUCAGCAACUUAGCAAGACACUAAGAAACUCAGUGAGACCCUGUCUCUA
Molecule: small RNA, 126 nt
Filed under: Marmota monax (woodchuck)
Lineage: Eukaryota; Metazoa; Chordata; Mammalia; Rodentia; Sciuridae
Source: RNAcentral